Molecule: ribosomal RNA, 479 nt
Filed under: uncultured bacterium
Lineage: Bacteria
Description: partial 16S ribosomal RNA
Rfam family: Bacterial small subunit ribosomal RNA
Source: RNAcentral
GGCGAACGCUGGCGGCGCGCCUAACACAUGCAAGUCGAGCGAUGAAAUUUCGACAGAUCCCUUCGGGGGGAAGAGGAAAUGGAUUAGCGGCGGACGGGUGAGUAACACGUGAGUAACCUGCCUUUGACAUUGGGAUAGCCUCGGGAAACUGGGAUUAAUACCAAAUGACACUACCUGAUCACAUGAUCAAUUAGUCAAAGAAAUUCGGGCAAAGAUGGACUCGCAGCUGAUAAGCUAGUUGGUGAGCUAACGGCCCACCAAGGCGACGAUCAGUAGCCGGGCAGAGAGGGACAUCGGAGACACUGAAACGAGGACACGGUGGAGAAUCCUGCGGGAGGGAGGCGAGGGGGAUACUGCAAAACGGCGGGGGUCAAGAUGGAGCGAGGCUGGGUGAGCGAAGAAGGCGGGCAGGAAGUAAAGCACUUUUAUGAGGGAAGGUAAUGACGGUACCUAAAGAAAAAGCCCCGGCUAACUACGUG